This 460-nucleotide ribosomal RNA is filed under the name uncultured bacterium. Its description in RNAcentral is "partial 16S ribosomal RNA". It matches the Rfam family "Bacterial small subunit ribosomal RNA", at positions 338 to 795 of the family's 1533-position model. The record is from RNAcentral.
CCUACGGGAGGCAGCAGUGAGGAAUAUUGGUCAAUGGGCGGAAGCCUGAACCAGCCAAGUCGCGUGAGGGAUUAAGGCCCUGCGGGUCGUAAACCUCUUUUGCCGGGGAGAAGUGGUCCGGACGUGUCCGGGCCGGGAGAGUACCCGGAGAAAAAGCAUCGGCAACCUCCGGGCCAGCAGCCGCGGUAAUACGGGGGAUGCGAGCGGUAUCCGGAUUUAUUGGGUUUAAAGGGUGCGUAGGCGGGCAUUUAAGCCGGCGGCAAAACGUCGGGGCCCAACCCCGGCCUGCCGUCGGAACUGGGUGCCUUGAGUGCGCGAGAGGUAUGCGGAAUGCGUGGUGUAGCGGUGAAAUGCGUAGAUAUCACGCAGAACCCCGAUGGCGAAGGCAGCAUGCCGGAGCCCUACUGACGCUGAGGCACGAAAGUGCGGGUAUCGAACAGGAUUAGAUACCCCAGUAGUC